RNAcentral lists this ribosomal RNA (1417 nucleotides) under Staphylococcus aureus DAR3529. RNAcentral's name for it is "bacterial SSU rRNA". It matches the Rfam family "Bacterial small subunit ribosomal RNA". The record is from RNAcentral. Lineage: Bacteria; Bacillati; Bacillota; Bacilli; Caryophanales; Staphylococcaceae.
AGAGUUUGAUCCUGGCUCAGGAUGAACGCUGGCGGCGUGCCUAAUACAUGCAAGUCGAGCGAACGGACGAGAAGCUUGCUUCUCUGAUGUUAGCGGCGGACGGGUGAGUAACACGUGGAUAACCUACCUAUAAGACUGGGAUAACUUCGGGAAACCGGAGCUAAUACCGGAUAAUAUUUUGAACCGCAUGGUUCAAAAGUAAAAGACGGUCUUGCUGUCACUUAUAGAUGGAUCCGCGCUGCAUUAGCUAGUUGGUAAGGUAACGGCUUACCAAGGCAACGAUGCAUAGCCGACCUGAGAGGGUGAUCGGCCACACUGGAACUGAGACACGGUCCAGACUCCUACGGGAGGCAGCAGUAGGGAAUCUUCCGCAAUGGGCGAAAGCCUGACGGAGCAACGCCGCGUGAGUGAUGAAGGUCUUCGGAUCGUAAAACUCUGUUAUUAGGGAAGAACAUAUGUGUAAGUAACUGUGCACAUCUUGACGGUACCUAAUCAGAAAGCCACGGCUAACUACGUGCCAGCAGCCGCGGUAAUACGUAGGUGGCAAGCGUUAUCCGGAAUUAUUGGGCGUAAAGCGCGCGUAGGCGGUUUUUUAAGUCUGAUGUGAAAGCCCACGGCUCAACCGUGGAGGGUCAUUGGAAACUGGAAAACUUGAGUGCAGAAGAGGAAAGUGGAAUUCCAUGUGUAGCGGUGAAAUGCGCAGAGAUAUGGAGGAACACCAGUGGCGAAGGCGACUUUCUGGUCUGUAACUGACGCUGAUGUGCGAAAGCGUGGGGAUCAAACAGGAUUAGAUACCCUGGUAGUCCACGCCGUAAACGAUGAGUGCUAAGUGUUAGGGGGUUUCCGCCCCUUAGUGCUGCAGCUAACGCAUUAAGCACUCCGCCUGGGGAGUACGACCGCAAGGUUGAAACUCAAAGGAAUUGACGGGGACCCGCACAAGCGGUGGAGCAUGUGGUUUAAUUCGAAGCAACGCGAAGAACCUUACCAAAUCUUGACAUCCUUUGACAACUCUAGAGAUAGAGCCUUCCCCUUCGGGGGACAAAGUGACAGGUGGUGCAUGGUUGUCGUCAGCUCGUGUCGUGAGAUGUUGGGUUAAGUCCCGCAACGAGCGCAACCCUUAAGCUUAGUUGCCAUCAUUAAGUUGGGCACUCUAAGUUGACUGCCGGUGACAAACCGGAGGAAGGUGGGGAUGACGUCAAAUCAUCAUGCCCCUUAUGAUUUGGGCUACACACGUGCUACAAUGGACAAUACAAAGGGCAGCGAAACCGCGAGGUCAAGCAAAUCCCAUAAAGUUGUUCUCAGUUCGGAUUGUAGUCUGCAACUCGACUACAUGAAGCUGGAAUCGCUAGUAAUCGUAGAUCAGCAUGCUACGGUGAAUACGUUCCCGGGUCUUGUACACACCGCCCGUCACACCACG